Molecule: long non-coding RNA, 1868 nt
Organism: Nothobranchius furzeri (turquoise killifish)
Lineage: Eukaryota; Metazoa; Chordata; Actinopteri; Cyprinodontiformes; Nothobranchiidae
Source: RefSeq, a predicted model, not a curated record
UUCAAAUAAGAUUGCUCAAAUCGAAAAUGUACCGACUUGUGACCCAUCCCUGCUUUAACUUGUGACCCAUCCUUGCUUGAACGAAUAAAUACAGCCAUGACAAAGCCGAGAAUCAGAACACUUUGAGCAGUGACUGAAGCAAGUCGGCUGACCUUGCAUGAGUACUGACGUGUUCUCCCUCUGCAGCGGUGAAUCAUAUCUUGACUGGUUUUUGACUCCAACAUCAACUCAGAAGCAAACAUCUUUUUCUCCAAUCGUCCCGAACCUGUCUUGGUCGCUUUUCAGGACCAACACUCCUCCUGCAGACUCUCGCGAUGAAGAGCAUCUGAAUCCAUCCCAUUUUGAUUCAUGGUGGAUGUGCUGAAGCAGAGAAGUAUCUAGAGCCUCCAUGGUAGAAGACCUGAAGGACCAGGACUGGACUCUGCUGCGAGUAAAAGGUGCAAAAAAUCCCAAUUCACGGUUCACCAUCCGCUCAGCCAUCUGGUUUUCAUCAGUAGCCGUUUGUAAGGGUGUGUCAGAUCCCUGCAUGGUUGACCCAGGAGUCUGUGACCAUGUGGACUGUGCACUCCAACGACACGUAUCUGAUGACAGAACUCCUAUUGAAAAGGUGGCGGCAGGCACAUAGCAGACAAAGACAACUGCAAGUCACAUCAUGAGCAGAGGAAGAAAAAACACAAGGACAUAUUAUGAGGAAACACUGUGAGAUAAGAUUGAUGUUACCAGCAUUUGGACAAUUUAUCAUCCAGGACACGUCAGAUCCAUGUUUGCCUGUGUUGUAAGAUGAGAAGAUGUACCUUCUUGUUAGUUCAUCACUUCAUAUGUGUCAUGUCGAAAUGAAGAAAUUCCCCUCUAAAAUCUGCAAACCUGUAACCAUAAAAGUGAUUGUGAGGUCAAAUCAAAUCUGCCAUUUUACUCUAUCCUGAAGAUUGACCAUGAACAGAGGUCUGAACGGUCUGUUUCUAUGGAGAAGUUGAGGGGGAAUGCUUACAUAAAUGUCUGAUUUAGAUGUAACCCUGAGAGGUUCUGUCAAUUAUGAAGUUUUACAUUUACAACUAUUUAAGUCAAGGAAGUACUUUUAUCAUUGUUUUUGGAUCUUUCUAAACAGCAAUAGAGCUCAUCCACCUUUGUAAAGCUGGUGGCAUGCUCGAAGUGACUUGUAGUCCCUACAAAACCUUAUGAAGUCGAAACUGAGGUCCAGGUACAUAGGGCUAAUCUUCCACACAUACAGGGGUUUCACAUCUGGUACUGCUCGGCCCGGCCCACAUUGCAUAUAUUGUUUUCAUACCUGGGUGGCUUGGUACAGUUCCCUCUCCCAACGGGCAGUUUCUCAGUCCUUAUCCUCUUGUGGUCCUCUCGGGGCUGGUCCGGGCCAACACACCCACUAUGACUGACUCAAAUACAUGCCAUUAUGGGGAGCCUCCGAUUGGUGGAUAGACUCAACCAGCAGGGGCUUCCCACAUGGACGAUUCAUCAUCCUUCUGGAUGCUGAGACAUAAAUGUCGCCUUUGACUGAAGUUGUAGCAGCUCUCUGUCUCUUUCUCACUGCUUUGAGGGGCACACACACACACACCUUCAUGGUCGCCUUUGAUGAAAGGAGACACCACAGACUAUUCUACACAUAUUUUGCCCCGCCCACAUGCUUUCCCCAUUCCUGAGAAGUGUGUGUGAACAAACCCUACCGGUGCUGAAGCCGGACCGACGCCACCCAGCCCGGUCCAUGCUAGCCCAGAUAGGAAACUGCCAAAGAGACCCCAAGGGUAUCGGGUUAAAUUCCUUUGAAUUUGGCUAAAUGUGUGAGUCGUUCUAACUGCAUUAGUUUUCUUCAUAUCUAAACCUCACAUCUACUGCAGUAAACGCACAAAAAUCUC